GUCCUGGCCGUAAACGCUGUGAGCUAGGUGCCGCGUAUCUCACGAAGAUGCGCGGUGUCGAAAUGAAGAUGCUAAGCUCACCGCCUGGGAAGUACGGUCGCAAGACUGAAACUUUAAGGAAUUGGCGGGGGCGCACUACAAGGGGUGCGGCGUGCGGUUUAAUCCAACUCAACGCGGAGAACCUUACUAGGGGCGACGGCAGGAUGAAGAUCGUGCUAAAGACACUAUCAGACGAGCCGAGAGGUAGUGCAUGGCCGCCGU
RNAcentral lists this ribosomal RNA (261 nucleotides) under uncultured bacterium. RNAcentral describes it as "partial 16S ribosomal RNA". It matches the Rfam family "Archaeal small subunit ribosomal RNA", at positions 744 to 1004 of the family's 1478-position model. The record is from RNAcentral.